Molecule: non-coding RNA, 110 nt
Organism: Ceratotherium simum simum (southern white rhinoceros)
Lineage: Eukaryota; Metazoa; Chordata; Mammalia; Perissodactyla; Rhinocerotidae
Source: RefSeq, a predicted model, not a curated record
UUUUUUUUUUUGCCCCCCAAAUCCCCCAGUACGUAAUUGUAUAUCCUAGGUGUAGGUCCUUCUAGUUGCUCUAGGUGGGAUGCCGCCACAGCAUGGCCCUACAAGUGGUG